RNAcentral lists this ribosomal RNA (231 nucleotides) under uncultured bacterium. Its description in RNAcentral is "partial 16S ribosomal RNA". It matches the Rfam family "Bacterial small subunit ribosomal RNA", at positions 104 to 334 of the family's 1533-position model. The record is from RNAcentral.
GGGUAGCGGAACACGUACACAACAUACCUUUUACUGGAGCAUAGCCCGUUGAAAAGCGGAUUAACACUCCAUAAGAUAAUAGAGUGGCAUCACUUAGUUAUUAAAAAUUUAUUGGUAAGAGAUUGGUGUGCGUCCUAUUAGCUAGUUGGUAGGGUAACGGCCUACCAAGGCGACGAUAGGUAGCUGGUGUGAGAGCACGACCAGCCACACGGGCACUGAGACACGGGCCCG